UACAGAGGGUGCGAGCGUUAAUCGGAAUUACUGGGCGUAAGGCGCGCGUAGACGGUUUGGUAAGUCAGAUGUGAAAUCCCCGGGCUCAACCUGGGAACUGCAUUUGAUACUGCCUGGCUAGAGUAUCGAAGAGGGAAGUGGAAUUUCCGGUGUAGCGGUGAAAUGCGUAGAUAUCGGAAGGAACACCAGUGGCGAAAGCGACUUCCUGGUCGAAUACUGACGUUCAUGUGCAAAGCGUGGGGAGCAAACAGG
Molecule: unclassified non-coding RNA, 252 nt
Filed under: uncultured Gammaproteobacteria bacterium
Lineage: Bacteria; Pseudomonadati; Pseudomonadota; Gammaproteobacteria
Description: contains 16S-23S intergenic spacer region
Rfam family: Bacterial small subunit ribosomal RNA
Source: RNAcentral